GAUGAACGCUAGCUACAGGCUUAACACAUGCAAGUCGAGGGGCAGCAUGAACUUAGCUUGCUAAGUUUGAUGGCGACCGGCGCACGGGUGAGUAACACGUAUCCAACCUGCCGAUGACUCGGGGAUAGCCUUUCGAAAGAAAGAUUAAUACCCGAUGGCAUAGUUCUUCCGCAUGGUAGAACUAUUAAAGAAUUUCGGUCAUCGAUGGGGAUGCGUUCCAUUAGGUUGUUGGCGGGGUAACGGCCCACCAAGCCUUCGAUGGAUAGGGGUUCUGAGAGGAAGGUCCCCCACAUUGGAACUGAGACACGGUCCAAACGCCUACGGGAGGCAGCAGUGAGGAAUAUUGGUCAAUGGACGAGAGUCUGAACCAGCCAAGUAGCGUGAAGGAUGACUGCCCUAUGGGUUGUAAACUUCUUUUAUACGGGAAUAAAGUGAGGCACGUGUGCCUUUUUGUAUGUACCGGAUGAAUAAGGAUCGGCUAACUCCGUG
Molecule: ribosomal RNA, 489 nt
Filed under: uncultured bacterium
Lineage: Bacteria
Description: partial 16S ribosomal RNA
Rfam family: Bacterial small subunit ribosomal RNA
Source: RNAcentral